GAACGCUGGCGGCGUGCUUAACACAUGCAAGUCGAACGGAAAGGCCCUGCUUGCAGGGUACUCGAGUGGCGAACGGGUGAGUAACACGUGGGUGAUCUGCCCUGCACUUCGGGAUAAGCCUGGGAAACUGGGUCUAAUACCGGAUAGGAGCCAUUUUUAGUGUGAUGGUUGGAAAGUUUUUUCGGUGUAGGAUGAGCUCGCGGCCUAUCAGCUUGUUGGUGGGGUAAUGGCCUACCAAGGCGGCGACGGGUAGCCGGCCUGAGAGGGUGGACGGCCACAUUGGGACUGAGAUACGGCCCAGACUCCUACGGGAGGCAGCAGUGGGGAAUAUUGCACAAGGGGCGCAAGCCUGAUGCAGCGACGCCGCGUGGGGGAUGACGGCCUUCGGGUUGUAAACUCCUUUCGCUAGGGACGAAGCUUUUUGUGACGGUACCUAGAUAAGAAGCACCGGCUAACUACGUG
This 462-nucleotide ribosomal RNA is filed under the name uncultured bacterium. RNAcentral describes it as "partial 16S ribosomal RNA". It matches the Rfam family "Bacterial small subunit ribosomal RNA", at positions 31 to 507 of the family's 1533-position model. The record is from RNAcentral.